GGGGAAUCUUGCACAAUGGGGGAAACCCUGAUGCAGCGACGCCGCGUGAGCGAUGAAGCCCUUCGGGGUGUAAAGCUCUUUCGGCAGGAACGAUAAUGACGGUACCUGCAGAAGAAGCUGCGGCUAACUACGUGCCAGCAGCCGCGGUAAUACGUAGGCAGCAAGCGUUGUUCGGAAUUACUGGGCGUAAAGAGUGUGUAGGUGGUGUCGUAAGUUUGGUGUGAAAUCUCCCGGCUUAACUGGGAGGGUGCGCCGAAGACUGCGAUGCUCGAGUAUGGGAGAGGAAAGCGGAAUUCCUGGUGUAGCGGUGAAAUGCGUAGAUAUCAGGAGGAACACCUGCGGUGUAGACGGCUUUCUGGACCAUUACUGACACUGAGACACGAAAGCGUGGGUAGCAAAC
Molecule: ribosomal RNA, 400 nt
Filed under: uncultured bacterium
Lineage: Bacteria
Description: bacterial SSU rRNA
Rfam family: Bacterial small subunit ribosomal RNA
Source: RNAcentral